GGGGGCGAAACGGCUUCGACAGGGAUCGGCGGACGCAGUGGGAGCGAGCCGGGGGCCCGCGCCCCGUAAGCAAGCGGGAAAAACAAUAGACGCCGACAGCGAGUUGGCUCUGGCCGCUUAAUAGCGGCCCGUUCCGCCCCGGGAAGCCCGCGACCGGGGACGGGGCGUCGUGCAGCGGGCUUGCCGAGGUCCAACUCCCGUAAGGACCGAGGGACAACCCUGACGGGAUAGCCGAGUGCCAGCCUUCCGCCGGGCGGUCACGAGGCGAAAUGAAAACGGCGGAUACGCUCGUAGAGCCCACGCGAUCGGGUUUCUGGACGGGGGUUCGACUCCCCCCGCCUCCACCA
This 347-nucleotide transfer-messenger RNA is filed under the name Actinomycetota (actinobacteria). RNAcentral describes it as "JACIXC01 sp014360655 Standard tmRNA". It matches the Rfam family "transfer-messenger RNA". Rfam says of the family: Bacterial tmRNA, also known as 10Sa RNA or SsrA, is named for its dual tRNA and mRNA-like properties. Its role is to liberate the mRNA from a stalled ribosome. RNAcentral also lists the same sequence under 1 other name. Lineage: Bacteria; Bacillati. The record is from RNAcentral.